AUUGAACGCUGGCGGCAUGCCUUACACAUGCAAGUCGAACGGCAGCACGGGAGCAAUCCUGGUGGCGAGUGGCGAACGGGUGAGUAAAGUAUCGGAACGUGCCCAGUCGUGGGGGAUAACGUAGCGAAAGUUACGCUAAUACCGCAUACGACCUAUGGAUGAAAGCGGGGGACCGCAAGACCUCGCGCGAUUGGAGCGGCCGAUAUCAGAUUAGGUAGUUGGUGGGGUAAAGGCUCACCAAGCCGACGAUCUGUAGCUGGUCUGAGAGGACGACCAGCCACACUGGGACUGAGACACGACCCAGACUCCUACGGGAGGCAGCAGUGGGGAAUUUUGGACAAUGGGCGCAAGCCUGAUCCAGCCAUGCCGCGUGCAGGAUGAAGGCCUUCGGGUUGUAAACUGCUUUUGUACGGAACGAAAAGGUUUGACUUAAUACGUUGGACUCAUGACGGUACCGUAAGAAUAAGCACCGGCUAACUACGUGCCAGCAGCCGCAGUAA
RNAcentral lists this ribosomal RNA (500 nucleotides) under uncultured bacterium. RNAcentral's name for it is "partial 16S ribosomal RNA". It matches the Rfam family "Bacterial small subunit ribosomal RNA", at positions 30 to 523 of the family's 1533-position model. The record is from RNAcentral.